GACCUUGAAAUACCACCCUUUAAUGUUUGAUGUUCUAACGUUGACCCGUAAUCCGGGUUGCGGACAGUGUCUGGUGGGUAGUUUGACUGGGGCGGUCUCCUCCUAAAGAGUAACGGAGGAGCACGAAGGUUGGCUAAUCCUGGUCGGACAUCAGGAGGUUAGUGCAAUGGCAUAAGCCAGCUUGACUGCGAGCGUGACGGCGCGAGCAGGUGCGAAAGCAGGUCAUAGUGAUCCGGUGGUUCUGAAUGGAAGGGCCAUCGCUCAACGGAUAAAAGGUACUCCGGGGAUAACAGGCUGAUACCGCCCAAGAGUUCAUAUCGACGGCGGUGUUUGGCACCUCGAUGUCGGCUCAUCACAUCCUGGGGCUGAAGUAGGUCCCAAGGGUAUGGCUGUUCGCCAUUUAAAGUGGUACGCGAGCUGGGUUUAGAACGUCGUGAGACAGUUCGGUCCCUAUCUGCCGUGGGCGCUGGAGAACUGAGGGGGGCUGCUCCUAGUACGAGAGGACCGGAGUGGACGCAUCACUGGUGUUCGGGUUGUCAUGCCAAUGGCACUGCCCGGUAGCUAAAUGCGGAAGAGAUAAGUGCUGAAAGCAUCUAAGCACGAAACUUGCCCCGAGAUGAGUUCUCCCUGACUCCUUGAGAGUCCUGAAGGAACGUUGAAGACGACGACGUUGAUAGGCCGGGUGUGU
This 688-nucleotide ribosomal RNA is filed under the name Escherichia coli. Its description in RNAcentral is "partial 23S ribosomal RNA". It matches the Rfam family "Bacterial large subunit ribosomal RNA", at positions 2188 to 2870 of the family's 2925-position model. The record is from RNAcentral. Lineage: Bacteria; Pseudomonadati; Pseudomonadota; Gammaproteobacteria; Enterobacterales; Enterobacteriaceae.